RNAcentral lists this transfer RNA (78 nucleotides) under Sphaerodactylus townsendi. RNAcentral's name for it is "tRNA-Arg". The record is from RNAcentral. Lineage: Eukaryota; Metazoa; Chordata; Lepidosauria; Squamata; Sphaerodactylidae.
AGAAGGGCCAUAGCUCAGUGGCAGAGCAUCUGUUUCCUUUGCAGAAGGCCCUGGGUUCAACCCCCCCCCCCACCUCUG